GGUUUUGUUCUUUGGAAGAGAGUUCGCCUUGAAAGCGGAUUAGGGUGUUCGAUUCAUCACAAAACUU
Molecule: transfer RNA, 67 nt
Filed under: Myadora brevis
Lineage: Eukaryota; Metazoa; Mollusca; Bivalvia; Myochamidae
Description: tRNA-Ser
Source: RNAcentral